UGGCUCUCUUUUUUUACCCUUCCUCCUCCAGCAGCACAAUAUGAUCCACCAGUAAGCAGGGACACCAAUAAGGCAUCUGAAAAGAUAAGUCUUAUAAAAUAUAUAGAUUUAUGAUAACUAAGACUGAGCUAACAGAUGAGAAGUUCUAGUCAUUGGCCAAGCAGCUUUAAACCUAAUACAAGUUUCUGUAUAUUCAUUUGGGCCUAACUCAGGCAGGCGGCUGGCAUAAAGCUCACCCGUGGCGGUGGGGCUCAGGCAGCUUUUGGCAGAAAGAUUUAUCGUAACAUACAUAUGCAAAUUUUUAUAAUCAUAGAGGGAUUUGGGACAGACUCCAGUGAAUGCAGAUCUGCCAAACUCUGGACAUAUUCCUGACUCACACUGAAUAAACUUUAUGGAUAGACAUCUGCCUAGACAAAGAAUCGGACUUCAGUCAUGAGCCCUAACUCACAGGCAUGAGGAGCUGAGCCUGAAUCCUCAGAACACCCUGAGAAGGCAGGGCGUGGGACAUCAGACCUCAUCUGUUACAGGGGAACCGAAAAACAGAAGAGGACUGAAACAAAGAGAGUCAUUCCCUCGGUGACAUAGCCACUGACAUGCAAAUGCCCAGCUGUCUGCUCCUGCUGCCCUGAGUGCUGUCACACCUUCAGUGGGAUGGACGGCACCCUGCUAAACCAUGACCUAGGAUAAAUCAUUGCUCCCGUCAAUUGCUUUCUGUUGGUCAUUUUGCCACAUCGAUGAAAAGCAAAUCCAGUAUGGAAACGCAACACCAAGAAGAGGAGCAAUUGUUUGGACUAUCUGACUUCUCGUGCCUUGUAGGCCUUUGUGGCUGGUUUGUAGAGAGAAUUUUGAGGAGUUUGGACCUGUAGAAUAUAUCAGCCCUUGAGUGUUAGAAGCAGAGUUUAAUUGGUCAUUCAGAUGGAAGCUGGUGAAACAUGAAUUCUGAGAAAAAUUCAGACAGUGGGAGCCUAGAAGCCUGGCUUAUAAGGUUUGUCCAAUAAGACGCCCAAAGCUCUACAGCUAUGGUGGAAGGGACUGCAUCUUGAGCUGACAGCAGUAACGUCCACAUGAGGGUUCUCUUAAAGGAUAAAAACUCCAAGAGUUUCAAAAAGAUGCUGAGGCCACACAGUAUGUGGAGGGUCGAAUUCCUUGAAAGGUACCUCUUAAAGGACAUUGUAUGAAGUUGUGAAGGUGAGGUCUAAGCUGCAGUGAAGACCAUCCCAAGACUGGGAGACAUCCUCGGAGGAAAGCCAAUCCAAGAAAGAGGCUGUGUGUUCUAAACUCAGAAAAGCCAGAGGGAUGCUGCUACCCAAACCAUGAAAGCCCAGCCAGUGUCAUUCCAGGCCCCGUGUGCUUUGGUGUUUGUGCUGCUUGGUUUCAGUCUUGCAUUGACCCCAUCGCUCCUCACUCUUAUUCUGUUUCUCUUUU
This 1425-nucleotide long non-coding RNA is filed under the name Cricetulus griseus (Chinese hamster). Its description in RNAcentral is "lncRNA (ENSCGRG00015033415.1)". The record is from RNAcentral. Lineage: Eukaryota; Metazoa; Chordata; Mammalia; Rodentia; Cricetidae.